UACGUAGGGUGCAAGCGUUAAUCGGAAUUACUGGGCGUAAAGCGUGCGCAGGCGGUUUUGUAAGUCUGACGUGAAAUCCCCGGGCUCAACCUGGGAAUUGCGUUGGAGACUGCAAGGCUAGAAUCUGGCAGAGGGGGGUAGAAUUCCACGUGUAGCAGUGAAAUGCGUAGAGAUGUGGAGGAACACCUAUGGCGAAGGCAGCCCCCUGGGUCAAGAUUGACGCUCAUGCACGAAAGCGUGGGGAGCAAACAGG
This 253-nucleotide ribosomal RNA is filed under the name uncultured bacterium. Its description in RNAcentral is "partial 16S ribosomal RNA". It matches the Rfam family "Bacterial small subunit ribosomal RNA", at positions 524 to 776 of the family's 1533-position model. The record is from RNAcentral.